This 1321-nucleotide ribosomal RNA is filed under the name metagenome. RNAcentral's name for it is "bacterial LSU rRNA". It matches the Rfam family "Bacterial large subunit ribosomal RNA", at positions 1579 to 2925 of the family's 2925-position model. The record is from RNAcentral.
UUAGUAGAGAAGCGUGUGAGCCAGCUGCCAAGAAAAGCCGCUAUUGCUUCAUAAGUACCCGUACCGUAAACCGACACAGGUGGAUGAGGAGAGAAUCCUAAGGCCGGGGGGAGAAGUGUUGUUAAGGAACUCGGCAAAAUGACUCCGUAACUUCGGGAGAAGGAGUGCCACAGAGAUGUGGCCGCAGAGAAAUGGCCCAAGCAACUGUUUAGCAAAAACACAGGUCUAUGCAAAACCGAAAGGUAAGGUAUAUGGGCUGACGCCUGCCCUGUGCUGGAAGGUUAAGAGGAGAGGUUAGAGCAAUCGAAGCUUUGAAUUUAAGCCCCAGUAAACGGCGGCCGUAACAAUAACGGUCCUAAGGUAGCGAAAUUCCUUGUCGGGUAAGUUCCGACCCGCACGAAAGGCGUAAUGAUUUGGGCACUGUCUCAACAACACACCCGGUGAAAUUGAAAUACCAGUGAAGAUGCUGGUUACCUGCGCCAGGACGGAAAGACCCCAUGGAGCUUUACUCCAGUUUGAUACUGGGAUUCGGUACUGUCUGUACAGGAUAGGUGGGAGGUUAGGAAAUGGUGACGCCAGUUGCCAUGGAGCCAACCUUGGGAUACCACCCUUACAGUACUGGGUUUCUAACCUGCAGCCGUGACCCGGCUGGGGGACAAUGUCUGACGGGGAGUUUGACUGGGGCGGUCGCCUCCGAAAGAGUAUCGGAGGCGCUCAAAGGUUCCCUCAGAACGGUUGGAAACCGUUCGAAGAGUGCAAAGGCAGAAGGGAGCUUGACUGCGACACCGACGGGUGGAGCAGAUACGAAAGUAGGACUUAGUGAUCCGGUGGUAUAAAGUGGGAUUGCCAUCGCUCAACGGAUAAAAGCUACCCUGGGAUAACAGGCUUAUCACUCCCAAGAGUUCACAUCGACGGAGUGGUUUGGCACCUCGAUGUCGGCUCAUCGCAUCCUGGAGCUGUAGCAGGUUCCAAGGGUUGGGCUGUUCGCCCAUUAAAGCGGUACGCGAGCUGGGUUCAGAACGUCGUGAGACAGUUCGGUCCCUAUCCGGCGUGGGCGUAGGAUAUUUGAGAGGAGCUGUCCUUAGUACGAGAGGACCGGGACGGACAAACCUCUGGUGUAUCUGUUGUUUUACCAAAGGCAUGGCAGAGUAGCCAAGUUUGGCAAGGAUAAACGCUGAAGGCAUCUAAGCGUGAAGCCCCCCUCAAGAUAAGAUAUCCCAUCUUCGGAGUAAGACCCCUUGAAGACUACAAGGUUGAUAGGCUUCAGGUGUAAGUGUGGUAACGCACUCAGCUGAGAAGUACUAUUAGGUCGAGGACUUAU